UACAUGGGGUGCAAACGUUGCUCGGAAUUAUUGGGCGUAAAGCGCACGUAGGCGGUUUGUUAAGUCGGAUGUGAAAUCCCUCGGCUCAACUGAGGAAGUGCAUCCGAAACUGGCAAGCUUGAGUACGAAAGAGGAUCGCGGAAUUCCCGGUGUAGAGGUGAAAUGCGUAGAUAUCGGGAGGAACACCAGUGGCGAAGGCGGCUUCCUGGCCUGUUCUUGACGCUGAGGCGCGAAAGCUAGGGGAGCAAACGGG
Molecule: ribosomal RNA, 253 nt
Filed under: uncultured bacterium
Lineage: Bacteria
Description: partial 16S ribosomal RNA
Rfam family: Bacterial small subunit ribosomal RNA
Source: RNAcentral